This 180-nucleotide small nuclear RNA is filed under the name Erpetoichthys calabaricus (reedfish). Its description in RNAcentral is "U2 spliceosomal RNA (ENSECRG00000012582.1)". It matches the Rfam family "U2 spliceosomal RNA". From Rfam's summary of the family: U2 is a small nuclear RNA (snRNA) component of the spliceosome (involved in pre-mRNA splicing). Complementary binding between U2 snRNA (in an area lying towards the 5' end but 3' to hairpin I) and the branchpoint sequence (BPS) of the intron results the bulging out of an unpaired adenosine, on the BPS, which initiates a nucleophilic attack at the intronic 5' splice site, thus starting the first of two transesterification reactions that mediate splicing. The record is from Rfam by way of RNAcentral. Lineage: Eukaryota; Metazoa; Chordata; Cladistia; Polypteriformes; Polypteridae.
AUAUUUUUUCAAAAAAAAAAAAAAAAAUCUGUUCUUAUCAGUUUAAUAUCUGAUACGUCCCCUAUCUGGGGACCAUAUAUUAAAUUGAUUUUUGGAAAAAGGAGAUGGAAUAGGGGCUUGCUCCGUCCACUCCACGCAUCGACCUGGUAUUGCAGUAUCUCCAGGAACGGUGCACCUCCU